Molecule: ribosomal RNA, 115 nt
Filed under: Amborella trichopoda
Lineage: Eukaryota; Viridiplantae; Streptophyta; Magnoliopsida; Amborellales; Amborellaceae
Source: RNAcentral
UCAAAAUGUUAUACCAACACUAAUGCACCAUAUCCCUGAAGUUCAAAGUUAAACAUGUUUGGGACGAAGUAGUACUAAGAUGGGUGAUCUCCUGAGAAGUCCUUGACACCUUUAC